Mastomys coucha (southern multimammate mouse) is the source of this 633-nucleotide long non-coding RNA. RefSeq lists it as uncharacterized. The record is from RefSeq and is a predicted model, not a curated record. The transcript is spliced from 2 exons. Lineage: Eukaryota; Metazoa; Chordata; Mammalia; Rodentia; Muridae.
CACCACCACCACGUGGCAUCGAAGCCUUUGGGAGACUAUCCCAAAGACACAGACUAGCCCCAGUGCCGGCGGAAGUCUUGUAAUCAGUUUAGUUACACGACAAAAUCCAGAUCAGAGAGAAGAUUAGAAUAUGUGGAUGCUUUGAACUUCACUCUGGUAGCACCUCCCCAAGCGAACAAAGAAUGCCUGAGGUAUUCACCGUGACACAAACACAUCCCUACCCUGGCUUCCCUGAAGCGAGGAGACCCACAGCCGGCCGGGUGAUCAGUUGGCAUCCCAAAUUGCCUCCCCGCAGCGUUCCACUCAGGUCUCCCAGAGGAGAAAUGGACCAUGUUGCAGCCCGCUGCUCCCGGAAUGGCAAGCAUCCGACAGGCUGCCCUACUCAGCGGUCCCCAGGACUCGGCAGACUGCAAGGGAGGCGAAGCUCUGUACUUGUGCUCACCAAGUUAGAGUCACUGCUGGGGAGGUGGCCCCCAGGCUUGCAUGGAAGUGCCCUUCUCACUCAGCGAGGCUUGACAGCAUGGAAAUUCUACCCUUCCUUCAGUGUGGCCUCUGAAGUUAGGAACUCCUGGUUAACAUCUGCCCUGUGACCUCACCCUGUCGCAAUGACUCCAUUAAACUGAGUCAUUUAGU